RNAcentral lists this ribosomal RNA (550 nucleotides) under Ostreococcus sp. RCC429. RNAcentral describes it as "SSU rRNA". It matches the Rfam family "Eukaryotic small subunit ribosomal RNA", at positions 602 to 1172 of the family's 1831-position model. The record is from RNAcentral. Lineage: Eukaryota; Viridiplantae; Chlorophyta; Mamiellophyceae; Mamiellales; Bathycoccaceae.
UAUUUAAGUUGUUGCAGUUAAAAAGCUCGUAGUCGGAUUUUGGCUGAGAACGGUCGGUCCGCCGUUAGGUGUGCACUGACUGGUCUCAGCUUCCUGGUGAGGAGGUGUGCUUCAUCGCCACUUAGUCACCGUGGUUACUUUGAAAAAAUUAGAGUGUUCAAAGCGGGCUUACGCUUGAAUAUGUUAGCAUGGAAUAACACCAUAGGACUCCUGUCCUAUUUCGUUGGUCUCGGGACGGGAGUAAUGAUUAAGAGGAACAGUUGGGGGCAUUCGUAUUUCAUUGUCAGAGGUGAAAUUCUGGGAUUUAUGAAAGACGAACUUCUGCGAAAGCAUUUGCCAAGGAUGUUUUCAUUGAUCAAGAACGAAAGUUGGGGGCUCGAAGAUGAUUAGAUACCAUCCUAGUCUCAACCAUAAACGAUGCCGACUAGGGAUUGGCGGAUGUUAAUUGAUGACUUCGCCAGCACCUUAUGAGAAAUCAAAGUUUUUGGGUUCCGGGGGGAGUAUGGUCGCAAGGCUGAAACUUAAAGGAAUUGACGGAAGGGCACCACCA